This 508-nucleotide ribosomal RNA is filed under the name uncultured bacterium. RNAcentral's name for it is "partial 16S ribosomal RNA". It matches the Rfam family "Bacterial small subunit ribosomal RNA", at positions 28 to 523 of the family's 1533-position model. The record is from RNAcentral.
GAUGAACGCUAGCUACAGGCUUAACACGUGCAAGUCGAGGGGAAACGAUAUUGGAAGCUUGCUUCCGAUAGGCGUCGACCGGCGCACGGGUGAGUAACGCGUAUCCAACCUGCCCACCACUUGGGAAUAACCUUGCGAAAGUAAGACUAAUGCCCAAUGAUAUCUCUAGAAGACAUCUGAAAGAGAUUAAAGAUUUAUCGGUGAUGGAUGGGGAUGCGUCUGAUUAGCUUGUUGGCGGGGUAACGGCCCACCAAGGCGACGAUCAGUAGGGGUUCUGGGAGGAAGGGCCGCCACAAUGGAACUGAGACACGGUCCAAACUCCUACGGGAGGCGGCAGUGAGGAAUAUUGGUCAAUGGGCGAGAGCCUGAACCAGGCAAGUAGCGUGCAGGAUGACGGCCCUAUGGGUUGUAAACUGCUUUUAUAAGGGAAUAAAGUGAGCCUCGUGAGGCUUUUUGCAUGUACCUUAUGAAUAAGGACCGGCUAAUUCCGUGCCAGCAGCCGCCGUAA